UCUCAUGUUUUGCAGUAUAUUAGUCAUCUAGUUAAUCAACUUGCCAGACAUCAAUUUUUGAAAAUAGCUUGUCAACUGGAGCGAAAGACGAUACUUGGGGCUUUUUCAUUGCUUAAAGUGAUUGAGUCAGAGUUGGAAGGCUAUCUAUCAGCAGGCAAUGGUCGCGUGGGUCAUUGUCUCUCCCUUAUUCAAGCUGCAUCAGAAGUACAUGAACAAGGGGCAGUUGAUGACCGUGAUACAUUUCUGCAUAGUGUCCGGGAUCUUCUAAGCAUCCAUUCGAAUUCUCAAUCAGCAUUACCGACAUAUGUAUCAGCAUAUGGUAUAGUUCAGCAGAUUUCAGGAUUGCAGUCUUGACUUGCUGUCUCUUCAGUUUGAACUCGAAAACUCUCUUCCAGAAGACCGAAGAUGUAUCAAUGAACUAUAAGUGAACUUUGUUUAUCAUGUGUACAAACUUAGAUUUAAUGUACCAGAGACUGGGAAUAGAAUGAGUCAAUAUUGG
Long non-coding RNA from Musa acuminata AAA Group (dessert banana), 499 nucleotides. RefSeq lists it as uncharacterized. Lineage: Eukaryota; Viridiplantae; Streptophyta; Magnoliopsida; Zingiberales; Musaceae. The transcript is spliced from 3 exons. The record is from RefSeq and is a predicted model, not a curated record.